ACAACCUCAACUCAUUCUCAUUGCGAGAAAAGAGUUGGAUUUGAGCAUAUCCACCAGGUCUUACAUUUGUGUGAGUUCUUGGAGGAUGCUUGAAAUAAGAGGUUCGGCCGGCAGUUGCCUGGGCUACAAGCAUUUCAUACUUAAUCCCGUCAAACGGAUUAUAUCCUUUGCUGCAGCCAACAUACAGGUUAACUUGUGCCAGUGUUCCGACUGAUGCAGGAAAGUUGAGAACUUUUGGUUCUCUUCCAA
This 249-nucleotide unclassified non-coding RNA is filed under the name uncultured Mortierella. RNAcentral describes it as "sequence contains ITS2". The record is from RNAcentral. Lineage: Eukaryota; Fungi; Mortierellomycota; Mortierellomycetes; Mortierellales; Mortierellaceae.